GCAGAAUGGCUGUCUUAUAACCUUAAGGGUUGAUUUAUAAUAGCCGUAACCGUUGAUUUAAGCCGUAAUCUUUAAUAGCGAAUUCGGACGCUUGCACUAGUGCACACUGAGUGCGCACUAAGGCUUGUUCUUAAUCAAUUGUUAUAUUUACAGAUCAUCUUAAAUACUUCUUAAGGCGCGGGUCCAAUGAAGAUCCGUAAACCUAACCCUAACCGUAAGACCGUAACCGUAAGAAAUCGCCUCCUAUCGUCUACAAUGACAGCCCAUAAUCGUAACGAAACGUAACAUAAAGAACCGUAAAUCCAUAACGCAAAUUCGUGUUUGCGUCGAUUCUAACCUCUGUGUUAACUGUUACAAAGUGCAAAAAUUUCGCUAUAAUGGAUAAUUUACCAUGUUAGAAAAACAGUUCUUGUGGCUAUUAACUUAAUUGCGAUAAUUCUGCAGUUAUUGCGGAAAAAGAAGAAAAAGAUUAAACGAAAAUAUUGGGUUCGGCCAAUGUUAUUACAGCGGAAGCAAAAAAGCCAUUUUCAUACUCUCUUUCAGUUUAUGAAAAACAAUGACGAUGAACAGUUUUUCUUCACAAUUCGAAAGACUAUCAGAAUUAGUGCAAGAGUCUCUGAUAAAAAGAAGUAUUUGAGAGCCUCUGUCGCCGGAACAUUGAUUAUGUAUUACUUUGUAUUAUCUUGCUCAUGGUUGCAGUAUGCAAAUAACUGUUGCAUGGAACUUUUAUGUGUCAAAAUCAACUGUGAGCAAAGUUAUCCGUGACACUUGCAAGAUUAUAUGGGACAAGUUAUCGCCUAUAUGUUUGCCAAGACCUACUGCUGACGAUUUCAGAAGGUACUCACGAGAUUUCCAAGAGUUGCGGAAUAUGCCGAAUUGUUUCGGGGCAAUUGAUGGAAAGCACAUCGUUGUACAAGCUCCUUACAAUACUGGGAUCAGUUUCUUCAA
Molecule: long non-coding RNA, 948 nt
Organism: Temnothorax curvispinosus
Lineage: Eukaryota; Metazoa; Arthropoda; Insecta; Hymenoptera; Formicidae
Exons: 2
Source: RefSeq, a predicted model, not a curated record